Molecule: ribosomal RNA, 253 nt
Filed under: uncultured bacterium
Lineage: Bacteria
Description: partial 16S ribosomal RNA
Rfam family: Bacterial small subunit ribosomal RNA
Source: RNAcentral
UACGUAGGGUGCAAGCGUUAAUCGGAAUUACUGGGCGUAAAGCGUGCGCAGGCGGCUUUGCAAGACAGAUGUGAAAUCCCCGGGCUUAACCUGGGAACUGCAUUUGUGACUGCAAGGCUGGAGUGCGGCAGAGGGGGAUGGAAUUCCGCGUGUAGCAGUGAAAUGCGUAGAUAUGCGGAGGAACACCGAUGGCGAAGGCAAUCCCCUGGACCUGCACUGACGCUCAUGCACGAAAGCGUGGGGAGCAAACAGG